AGUCAACAUUUGGAUUUUGGUCUCUGAGAGUCCUUGAUAGCCUGCAGGGUGAUCAACAGUCUUAAGGUUUGCUCAGGACUGAGGGGUUUCCCAGGAUGUGGGAGUUUCAGUCCUGAAAUGGGAAGUCCCACGGGUGCCAAUGGGCGCCAAUGGGUGCACCAGCAUGACUGGUCAUUCUAUUGGGGUUCUAAUUCAGUUUCCUUUUAGUUUAAUAUUUGUAUUACUUUCUAUAUCUGGAGAAGUUUGAUACAAAACCUACACCUGUGACUUUUAUUUUCUUUCACUUCCAUCUCUCCUAUUUUCAUAAAAAGAGGGUAAUUUGAUAGAUAUGACUAAAAUCUUACAAUUACUAAAUGCAUUUAGUCAUUCAACAAUACUGUUUAAGUGCCUACUUAAAGUCCUGGCAGGGGCGGGCUACAAUGAUAGAUCAAGGUAGCUACUAGGAGUGAGAAGUCCUGUCCAUAAGCAGCUAGAAGAAGAUAAGAAAAGAUCUGCCGACAUUUCCAGGAGUUCAGAGCAAGUGGCAGACUGAUAAAGCAGAGGUGAAGAGGGCAGGGGAAGCUGCUUGCUUUUUGUCAUUUUAUUUUACUUUAGAUGAGCAAUAGGAAACAACAUCUCCAAAAACAACUCCAUUCUUUCAUGUUAGGAAUCAUUUUGGUAAAAUGGUGUGGCUUUCUGUUUUUUCACUAAAAGACUAGCUGAACCCUGGACUUCAAAUGCUUUCAUGACUACUAGAAAUAUAUAUAUAUUUUUUCUCUUCAAAACAAUGCAACGCAUAUUCUUGGCUUUCCCUUCAAGCAAUGGGCCCCCACGUGGGGAAGUCAUUUUCGUGUCUGUGAGCAAAUGCGGUGAUUAGGUUGUCAGUGACCUUACAGUCAUUAUUAGUUUUCACAAGCCCUCAGUGAACUUCAUGUCUGAGCUCUCCUUCAGUUCAGGGUUGAUGUGCAAUGACUCAUGUACCCGCUGUAAUACUCCAAAACUACUGUGUGAUUCCUUUCCUCUCUCCUUUCCCCUCUGCAUUUCACUUUCCCUUCAUAUCUCAUGAGCACAUAGUUCCUUCUUUAAUGACUAAUUGUAUUGAGUGCCAUGACCAGUCUUAGGAGUGUUGUAAUAUGAAUGAAGCAAUCAAAACUCUCCACUUGAUCACUCCUGUUUAUUAUUUUUUAAAGAAAGAUGAAAGUUGUCAUGUGCAAAUGGGGGCAUUAAUUCCUUUACCUAUUCCACAACUUUAGCUCAAAUAUGCCAAGGAAAUAGAGUGUACGUGUGAGUGUGUGUGCCUGUGCUUGAAGCAAGAGAAUCGAAGGAGACCAGCAAGCCUCAAAGUUAAGUAAAAUUUGGAAUCAACAUUUAAAUUAGGUAUGCUUUAUGGGUUGAUGUUAUUUGAAAGCUGAAUAGCUGAUGUCAAAAAUAGACUUCCCUUUCUUUCCAAAGUGUGGCAAAAAUAACCACAUGCUUUUCUUGGAUUCCUGACUCUCACCCCUAAGGGUUUUCUUGUAUAGGAACCAACAAUUCCUUGGAUGGAAACACUGGAUAGGCUAGUCAUUAUUUUGAGAUUUAGGAGAUUGCAGAUUCUUGGCAGACUGUGGUUGUUUUUCUAGAGUAGUAGGCAAGUAGUUGGACAAAAAGCAAGAAGCUGAUCCAUGUUGCUGGCUUUGGGUUCUUCGUGAACAAAUGAGACAAGGCUGAAAAUUCUAUGCGCAUUCUACCCAGCUUCUUAGAAGGUCCUCACAGAAGAUGAGAUGGAUCACGUGGCCACCUUCACUGCCUCCUUCCCCACUUUACUCCUUCCAGGAGGCUAGGGACUCCUGUCUGCUGGGAUCAUUCUCCAAAAUAACCUUCCUUUACAGAAACCCUUGUCACAGGCUCUGUUUCCUGCGCGGAACCCAGACUGAGACACUAAAAUGAUACAAUAGAAUGAAGACAUGAAUGUGAAUUGCUCAGGGGUUGGUUGGAUUGUAUAUCUCUGUGAAUAGGGUUCAAAGAGAAGUUUGGGAAACACUGGACUAGAUGACCACUGGCAUCACAGCGUGUAGAAUUAGAACCUUCACAUCCCCAUCCAGCUAUAACAGGUUUAUGGGUAUCUAGGUCUUCCACGAAGAACAGUAGGAGAAGAUCCCCAAGCCUCGUCAGACCUGUUGAAUAUCCGUGAGUAUGUGUGACAUCCAGGAGAAACAGAGAACAAAACAAAACAGAACAUUUUCACAAACAUUCAGAACCCUACGAUCUUGGGAGUCUUCUGCACUCUAUAGUAGUAAUAGAUUAUGUCCAAAUCUGUUACAAAUUAUUAAACUGCAAGUGAUGUUGGCCUAUUCCAAGGAAACUGUUGGUCUCACUCUAGGGCAUGCCUAAAGGUAAAGGAGGAGGAGACCCAAGGAGGGCUUCUUUGCUUCUGUCCUCAUCCAUCCCGGGGAAAGGUGGCCUUUGCGUCAGCCAGGUUGUUGGCUGGACUCUGGGGAUUCUGAGAAUCUAGUUACCUGCCUGUCCCUCUCUGUACCUGUAUGAUCUAGGCCAGUGGAUCUCAAAGUGUGAUUCCUGGAUGAGACCAUCUUUUUCCAAAGGCAAAUUUUGUACUAGGAGGGAGAUUAGAAAUGCCAAUUCUUGGGUCCCACCCGGAUCUUCAACAAUCUGUUCUGACAAGCCUUCCAGAUGAUUCUGAUGCUGGCUCAAGUUUGAGAACGACUGUCCGAGGCCUUUUCCUUCUCACUUGGCUUGUGAGCUUUGGUGGCCUCCCAUGUUGAUUUCACACUCCUGCCCAGAGAACGGGCUCAGGGAACAAAAGAUUACUAGGUGAACUGGGUGGGGGGUGAGAAAAGAGGCUAGAACUGUGUAGGUGCUACCCAGUCGACAAGCAGAUUCCGUCCUGGACUUUGGAAGUCAGCUGUUUGGAAUGUGAGCUGUUUUCCUAGGAAUGGUAGAUAGGUUCCCACGCCAGCACACAAAGGCAUAUUUAAUCCUGAAUCCAGCUGAAAUAGCGCUGCGGCACAGUGAAAUAGAGCAGAUCACAGUGCUCCCGUAGUAUUAGUCACCAAUCAAAGCAGAAUAAAGCAAGAAAUGAAACACAGAGAUAGUAUUUUGUUUAUGCUAAUAUUGAUGCUGGCAGGACAGGUUGAUCUGCAGGCGGAUGGAGAGGUAAUUGGGGAUUUGUCAAGACUAUGAAGGAGUGGCUUGCCUUUCUCUUUAGAAUGUCAUGAUACUAAAUUCCUGUAGUUAGGUUUUCUUAAAUGUGGUUCUAGACUGUUACCUUCUCUUUUUCUGAAGGCACGUUUCUCACUAAGAAAGAGAGAAAGAAUUCUGAGACAAGUUGGCAAGAGUUGAAAAGGAGAGCGGAAAGGAUAAGGGCAUUAAAGACAAUGUGGGUUUGUUUUUUUUAUUAACACGAGCAUCAACAGAGACAGAAUUAAGUUGAGUUGUGAGCAAUGAGGGAUGGAUCGUCAGAAGGAGGGUCAGAAUUCUCUUCUGACAAAAGGGAGGAAAGAAAGCAGACAAAAACUGACUAUACAGUUUAAGAACUGCUGUUCUGGAAAACAUGCCUCCUAUUGUACUGCCCUUAGAAUUGGCCCAUAGUCACAUUCCAUGUCACCUUGUCCCCUCUCUGGCUACAUGGGCAGCUGACCAGAGGCCUUGACAAUGACCAAUGAUAUGGCAUAAGAAGGUGAGCUGGACCAAUCUGAUGUCCUCUUUUUCCCUCCCAGGCAUUUGACCUCAGGAAUACCCAAGGCGUUUGUUCGACCGUGACGGGAAGAGGUGCAUGGCUGGCCAUGGACACUUGACAUGUUCUCAAAUCAAAGCUUCUAGUUAGGUUUCCUGUGGUGGCUAAAGUACUUUCUUUUCGGGUUCACUAUGCAUUUAUUAACCAUUCUAUUUUUGUACCAUACAAAUUAUCAUUGCUGACGGUUGAAUGGCUGGAUUUGGAGAAAUGUGGUAGCCCUAAUGGAAUUAAUUAAGUGAAUAAUAUUGCCUGACAAAUGGCUCCGCGUACCAAAGAGGGCUUGAGACUUAAUUACUGAUGUCAUUUAUCUCUCUAUUUGCACCCCAACAAUAAGUGACUCGCUUCUCAUUAACGUUGGAUCAUCUUCGAAAAGGAAAAAAAGUAGCCAAAAUAUCAAGAAAGAAAAAAAAAUUGAUGUCUUCGUUCCCCACUUCAUUAUCCUGAUAAAUCAUAACAGACUCUGUUAAUUAGAUGGGCAGCUUUAACUGGCUGACUCCUGUCCAACAAUUACCUCAGAAAGAAGCACCACUGGGAACAUUUCCUUCCCUUGGGAGGACAUGAAAGAAAGUCCAUAACAGAAAAAGGGAUCAUUUCCCCAGCCGUGCUGGGGACCACAGUGGUCAGUAUGAAUUUCUAGACUGAAGGGCUGGAGCUGUUGCAGAGAUGUUGCUGAUGCGUGAUGGCGAUGGUGGGGUGACCGACGCUGUCCUCUUAAUCUAAGACUUAGAAGAGUGGUGUCAUAGGUUGAAUUGUGUUCCCCCAAAAGACACUGAAGUCUUAAUUCUCAGCACGUGUGGAAGUGACCUUAUUUGGAAAAUAGGGUCUUUGCAGAUGAUCAAGUUAAGAUGAGGUCAUCAAUACUGGCCUAACCCAAUAUGACUGAUGUCCUUAUAAAAUGGAGAAACUUGGACACAGAGACAGACGUGCACAUAAGGAGAAUGCCAUGUGACAAGGGAGGCAAAGAUUGGGUGAUCUUUCUACAAGCCAAGGGGUGCCAAAGAUUGUCAGCAAACCGCUAGGAGUUCCGGGAGAGGCCUGGAGCAGAUCCUUCGUCUCAGCCCUCAGAAGGAACCAACCCUACGCACACCUUGAUCUCGGACUUCCAGCCUCCAGAACUGUGAGCCAAUACAUUUCUGUUGUUUCAAGCCAUCCACGUGUGGUAUUUUGUUAUGGAAGCCUGAGCAAACUAAUUCAAGCGGGUACUGGUUUCAAAGUGUCUAAAAACGCUCUCAUUGCUCUUGGGGUUUGUACAGUUCACAGAAAUGAGCCAUCUUGCUGGCCAAGGCUGCCGGCGGGGCUACUGUGAGAAGUCGGUCAGUAACCAAUACCGAUUUCUCAGUACCAGGCGCUGGAGAGAUGGUGAAGGAGACAGAUGUGGUUCCUGAUCUCCAGCAGCCAGCAGUCUGGUGGGAAGGGGAGGCAAUGAAGAUGACCUUGUACUUAAUCAGUUAAAUAUGAAUAUGUAUUCAGUGUGCAGAGGACGGACCGACGAAGCACAUCCUGGGGGAGGCACCCCAAGCUGGGCUGGAAAAAAAAGGCUCGCAGAGGAAAGGAUGUCUAAGCUGAGACCUGAUGAGCAAGGGUUAUCUGGAUUUUAAAAAUGGGCUGUGGAAGGAGCAGGUGUGAAGGCUCUAGGGCAAGAGGAAGCAAGGAGCGUACACACAUACCCAGAGAAAUCCAAGAACAGAGCAGCUGGGGACGGCAUAGUAGCUUCCAGUUCUUUUUCUCAGCCUUCAUCUUCUCAUUCAUCAAAGGUUUACAGCACACUUACCAUGUUCUGUCCCCCGAGCUAGGGGCUGGGGGAUGCCCGUGGUGGAGACCAACACGUAAACUGCCCAUCAAGCAGCUGAUGGCCCAGGGCUGGGAAAAGAGAUGGGAGCAGACGGAGAGAACAGAGCCACCACUUCUGUCAGGACAACUCGGAGCAGCGGAGGAAGCCACCUCUCAGGUGAAUCUUGAGGAAAAGCUACAUGCAUGGGCUAUGGGAGGGAAACGGGUAAACCGAAAAUGUUAACCUGUGGUCAGAAGAAAAAGACCCUUCGGUCCCUGAUCUCUCUGGCCAAUAGUUUUCAUGUGACUGGACUUGAAGAGGUCACAUGUCACAUCCAGAAACUUUAAUUCUUUCUAAGUGUAUAAUGUGAUUCUAUUUCUCUGAAGCAGAAUUUGAGUUGCAGCUUAUCUAGUUUUCAUUCAACGACAUGGCAGGACGUUUCAGAACAUUCUACAGAACACCUUUGUGAUGGCUUCUUGUCCUUGAGGCCCCACGCCCAAAUACUUGGACCUGGGUUCCCAGGACCUACCAUGGACACCAUCUCUCCUUGGCCAGAGUCUGAGGAAAUAAUGAAAUCUAUAGACUCAAUCCAUCCUGGGCAUAUAUUUUUGAACUCUAGCUUUGGCAGUUCUUAGGUACAGCCCAAUCAAAAGGGGCCAUUAAGGGUGCCAUUUUCAAGAUGCAUUUCUAGGUUGGAUAUUAAAGUCACUGUUUGCCGUCUCUAAUUGACUUCAAUUAUCUGUCUCUUGUGGGCCCAGGACAGAAAGUUUUGGGAAGGCAAAACUAGACUCUGAUUUUGUAGGCAUGGCAUUUAUUAUGUAAGCGUACAGGUCUGCAUUUCAAAAUGAAAAAAUAAUAAUAAUGAAAGUUUCUCUAGGCUUCUUGUGUCCAAACCACUCUUGCAAAACCACCUCUGGAUGAGCUUUAAGUGUCAGCAAAUCAGAAACAUGUGGAUUUAAUUUCCUUUGAAAUACACUAGGGGGACAAGGGGGUAGCAGGG
This is a long non-coding RNA of Equus quagga, 6480 nucleotides long. RefSeq lists it as uncharacterized. Lineage: Eukaryota; Metazoa; Chordata; Mammalia; Perissodactyla; Equidae. The transcript has 3 exons. The record is from RefSeq and is a predicted model, not a curated record.